GCUCCACCAAGUCGAUAUUGGACAGGGGCAUGGGUCUUUUCCCAGCGGGUUCAUCAUCCCGUUUCACUAAGCCGCUGUGAUGCUUGAUCUUUUAUGAUGGAUUUCCCGAGCGGGUUCUUCUUCCCGCUUUGCCAGUGGUCGCUGUGAACCACGCUCAAUGCUCAACGGUGUAUCUCUCCUGCUCCGAUUCACGCCGUCGUUGUCGUAAGCCCAAGCUUCAGUCUUCGUCGCAAAUCAAGCCGUGACUGCGCCACCGUCUCCUCCAAGACGCGACCAAGCUUCCUCUGUGGCCGUGCUCAGCUCCACCGUAGUGCUCCGUCGUCAUCGUCGGCUCACGGCCUCUCUAUCUCCCGUGGCUGUGCUCAGAAUCUCCGCCGUGGAAGCUCCGGAAUCGCCAUCGGGAGUCGUCGCUUCAGUCUCCUCCGUGAAAGCUUGACCACGAGCUCCAAUGGUGAUCCACUGGCUGUCGUCCUUGAAACCUCCGCUUGCCACCACGAACUCCGCCACGGAUCAUCAUGUUCAGGCUAGCUCAGAUCCUCCGUAGUGACCUCAGCUCGAGCCGUGAAAGCAUGUCCUGAAGCUCCGGAGUCGUCGCUUCUCGCCGUCGCAGCCAUCGUCACGGAGAAGAGAAACAACAAUGGAGAUGUUCUAUCAAUUUGCGACCUUGGUCCCUGGAGUUUUUCUUGUUUACAAUUCAGCCCCAAUACUUCAUAAUUUGCAGAGAUACCUCUCAAAUCAACCCCUGGACUUUUUAUUGUGCGAUUUAACCCAAGCAAGUAUUCUGAAUUUGCAGUAUUGGUCCCUCGACUUUUGAUGGUUUCCAAAUCAGCCACAAAGUCUUGAAUGCACAAGAACAACCUCACAUUUUGGCUCCAAACUUCCAUUUGUGCAAUCCAACCCCUAUGAUAUGCAAAUGAGUAUGCAAAUGCAACAUAAAGACCUAAAUACAAUCUAAAAUCAUUUUAUUCACUCAGCUCUUUUAUUUUUCUUUUCCCCACUCUUUUCAUGUUUUUUUUUAUUCUAAAGGGGAUUCUAUUUAUAAACACAAGAGCCCUUUUUUCUUUUAGAUCCCUAGUGGCUUUUUUCCUUUUCUCACUCUUUUUGGUUCAUUUCUUUUCACUUUCACUCACAUCCCAAUCCCAAGAUCAAAAGAAUUUAAGUUCACAAACCCAACAACCAUCCUAGAGGCUAGCCUAAAUGAGGUCCUAAUGCUAGCCAAAGAUGAGAACAACUCAUUGUCGCUCCUAAUACUCUCAAAAUUUUGCACAUGACAUGCUAUCAAUAAAAGGCCUCACUCAAGCAAAUUAAUGUUGGUUUCAAAGAAUGGUGAGGGUUAAUGGGUAUGAAGUGUCAUUUGGGUUAACAAAGAUUGGUACAAAGAGAGAAAGAUAACCCAAAUGUGUAUAAUAUCCAUGAUCAAGUAUGCAAAUGCCCAUAUGCAAGAGAGAUUAAGUUCAUUAAGCCCUAGUUCAUUUGGAGUUUGUUUCAAGAACAAUGCCAAUCAUCAAGCAAACAACAUGUUUCAAGAAGAGUUUUCAAGGCUCGAAGCUUACAAGCUUUUUCAAGAGAUGCUUAAGCUACUUGAUAUGUUUAGCUAGGAUGUCAAAUUGAGUUCUAGACAUGUGUUCUUUACAAGGUUUCUCCCAAUGCAUGAAUGCAAUCUAAAUGCUUCUAGACUCAAUCCUAAAGAUUCAAAUGGAUCAAGUGAAACUACAUGAAGAUUUUUAAAAAAAAAUCAAAUUUUUAUGAAUUUUCUAUGCAAAUAAGUAUUCACAAUGCAAUGCAUGAGACUCAUGGCAAGUAAACAAAACAGAAAAUGAUGUGAGAUAGUAGACUCUCCCCCAAACUUACUUCACACAGUCCCUUGUGUGAGAGUGAGCUCAAAGAAGAGAUCCAAGGGAAAGAAAUAAACAUGAAAAGUAAAUAUGUACAAGGUUGGAGUGACACUUACUUGGAGUUAUUGGCUGAAUUGGGUGGUAGAGGACCCUUGGCCUCGGGUUUGUUUCACCAUGGACAUGGACUGAAGGGGAGAAGGCAAGUGUCUAGAGUCACAAUGCUUCACAUCAGCCAAGGCAAGUAAGACUUGACCUGAAAAAUCUCAACCAUGCUUAUUAAAUAACCUAAAAAGAGAAGAUAAAAAAAAAAAUAUAUACAAUGGAUAAACAUGGAAUUUCCUCCCAAGUGAGCUUGUUUUAAGUCUCUAGCUUGACUUUGUGUGCUUGUUAAUCAUAGGUAUCAAAAGGUUGAGCCAAUGCACCUUUGGUCCUUCUCCUACAAGAACAAGGAACCAAGUAUGCAAAGGAGCACACUACUAUCCAUAGAAAAUAGACAGAUUUUUCCUCAAAGAGCUUCACUAAAGAUGUGACAUGAAUUAUGAAAUGCUCCUUGAGGUUCAGAUGGUCAUGAGAAUCAAAUGCAUAUGGUGGAAACACACAGUCAACUACAGGCUCAAACAAGGUUUUAACAAAGUAGUCAACUCUAUCUCCAUCAAUCAAGUAAUACACAAUGCUCACAUUCUCAUGAUAAUUUUUGACAAGGGGGUUUUCUAUCCUAAGCAAGAGCAUAUCCACAUCAAGUUCAUCCCCUAAAUCAGCAAGUUCAAGAAGAGGUCUAGGUUCAUUAAGCAUCAAAAACUCAUACUCAAGAUCAAUUGAAGCACAAAGAUAGUUCUUGUCAAAACAAACUUCAAUAUGAUCUCUAGCAAGCUUUUCUAUUCUCAACUCAUCUAGCUUCCUAGUUUCACAUAUUAGAUCAAGACAUUCAUUUAUGAGCACAAGAGAAUCAAGAUCAUGGGCAAUAUUCUCACCACAAGGCAAGCAAAUUUCUUCAAGUUGAAGUUCUAGAGUGGAAAUGCUUGUACCUUCCAGCUGGGGUGGUGGAACCCAAUACAUUACCUCUUUAAGGUCAUAAGCAACAUUGAACUCAUACUGUGUAACCUCCCUUCCUUCAAGCUCUGAUCGAUCCCUAAUAAGCUCCACCCGGAUCCUUCGUGCUAGGGAUGUCUUUGCUGACUCCGGAUACUUCUUCUGAAGCUCAUUUAACUUCACAAGCUGUGCUGGUGUGAGUAUACUUGCAUCAAAGGGUGGUGGCUCCACAUACACAUAUGGCUCAUCUUCGAUGUGAUCUUCAAAUGUGUCUUCCUCUUCUUGUGGCUUCUCAAAAUAGCUUGAAGCCAUCACUGCAAGAACAAAAGCACUAGAAUAAAUAGUUAGUAACUAUACAAAAGCAAAACAAAACAAGAAAAUAAAGCUUAGUCUCAAGAAAGAUUGAAAUCCCAACAACAAAUCCCUUUGGUAAAGGAUGUUAAAAGCUUAGGAGAGUUGGUUCAGGCAUUUCAUCAAACACCUUCCGGGUAUGAAAUGCCUAGAGCUCAACUUUAGAGAGGCCAACUCUAGAGUUGCAUUAAAAGCACUCUAAUAGCAAGGAACAAGAUGGAUCUAUACUAAAACACUUUAGAUCUAGUUUAAUCACCCUAAUCUACCUUAACCCAUGAAUCCAAAAUGUGUCUACUCAAUAAUCUCCAUGAGAAACCUUAAACCCAUGUAAGGAUCAAGGCUAAUCAUGUUAAUGAGUAAGAGAAACACAAUUAUAAGAUGAAGUACUUCCUCAAAUUAUAGAAAGAUUCAAGCUUUUACAAAGUCUUGAGAGAAAAUGAGAUAAAAAUAAAGUUUCUAGGUCUAAAUCUAUUUAUAGAGGUGUACAAGUCGUGCUGGUUUAAUUGAAUUAAACCGGGUCAAACCGGAAUAAACCGGUCAACAUCUCAAAAUCGCAUCCACAGCGGCCACCGCAUCCCGCUCCACCAAGUCGAUAUUGGACAGGGGCAUGGGUCUUUUCCCAGCGGGUUCAUCAUCCCGUUUCACUAAGCCGCUGUGAUGCUUGAUCUUUUAUGAUGGAUUUCCCGAGCGGGUUCUUCUUCCCGCUUUGCCAGUGGUCGCUGUGAACCACGCUCAAUGCUCAACGGUGUAUCUCUCCUGCUCCGAUUCACGCCGUCGUUGUCGUAAGCCCAAGCUUCAGUCUUCGUCGCAAAUCAAGCCGUGACUGCGCCACCGUCUCCUCCAAGACGCGACCAAGCUUCCUCUGUGGCCGUGCUCAGCUCCACCGUAGUGCUCCGUCGUCAUCGUCGGCUCACGGCCUCUCUAUCUCCCGUGGCUGUGCUCAGAAUCUCCGCCGUGGAAGCUCCGGAAUCGCCAUCGGGAGUCGUCGCUUCAGUCUCCUCCGUGAAAGCUUGACCACGAGCUCCAAUGGUGAUCCACUGGCUGUCGUCCUUGAAACCUCCGCUUGCCACCACGAACUCCGCCACGGAUCAUCAUGUUCAGGCUAGCUCAGAUCCUCCGUAGUGACCUCAGCUCGAGCCGUGAAAGCAUGUCCUGAAGCUCCGGAGUCGUCGCUUCUCGCCGUCGCAGCCAUCGUCACGGAGAAGAGAAACAACAAUGGAGAUGUUCUAUCAAUUUGCGACCUUGGUCCCUGGAGUUUUUUUUGUUUACAAUUCAGCCCCAAUACUUCAUAAUUUGCAGAGAUACCUCUCAAAUCAACCCCUGGACUUUUUAUUGUGCGAUUUAACCCAAGCAAGUAUUCUGAAUUUGCAGUAUUGGUCCCUCGACUUUUGAUGGUUUCCAAAUCAGCCACAAAGUCUUGAAUGCACAAGAACAACCUCACAUUUUGGCUCCAAACUUCCAUUUGUGCAAUCCAACCCCUAUGAUAUGCAAAUGAGUAUGCAAAUGCAACAUAAAGACCUAAAUGCAAUCUAA
This 4748-nucleotide long non-coding RNA is filed under the name Brassica napus (rape). Its description in RNAcentral is "long non-coding RNA (BNAP_LNC006029)". Lineage: Eukaryota; Viridiplantae; Streptophyta; Magnoliopsida; Brassicales; Brassicaceae. The record is from RNAcentral.